GACGAACCGUGCGGACGUUGUUCGGAAUCACUGGGCUUAAAGGGCGCGUAGGCGGGCGGCCGCGUCCGGGGUGAAAUCCCACGGCUCAACCGUGGAACGGCCUCGGAUACGGGCGGCCUCGAGGGGGGUAGGGGCAUCUGGAACUGUGAGCGGAGCGGUGAAAUGCGUUGAUAUUCACAGGAACUCCGGUGGCGAAGGCGAGGUGCUGGACCCCAUCUGACGCUGAGGCGCGAAAGCCAGGGGAGCGAACGGG
Molecule: ribosomal RNA, 253 nt
Filed under: uncultured bacterium
Lineage: Bacteria
Description: partial 16S ribosomal RNA
Rfam family: Bacterial small subunit ribosomal RNA
Source: RNAcentral